GUGGUGGCAGCAGGGACAGAGGUGCUUGGGCAUUGGUUUGGUGGUCCCUGUGGUCAGAGAGGUGUCCGUGGUCAGGCUUGAGCCCAGAGGGACAUCCCUGACAAUUUGCUGAGGGCUGAACCCCCCAUCCCAGGCACAGGAGGGAAUCUGAGGGCACGGUCCCUCUGGGCUCCUGCCAGGACCACCGUACACAGCAUCCAACUGUCCUCAUCUCUCAUGCCUUUGGACAUGUUUCCAGCAACCCUCAAAAUAUUCUUCUUGUAACCCAAACCCCUCCAACCCCCCCAAAACCAGCAGCCCUUGAAGGGGGUCUUGCAAAAGGAAAAACUUCCCAGCAGCUCCGCUGUGGGAUCACAUAAACCAGAGCUGGCAGUGCCACAGCAUCCCUGUGCCAUGCCAAAAUCCCAUCUGGGACAUCCCUGGGAACAGGGAGAGGGUGGCAGUGAUGGGACACCCACCACACCAGCAGCACUCUGGUUAUUUUAUCAAAGCAGGAGCGAUUCCCAAACCCGGCCGACACUGAUGUCUGAGCCCCUGGAUGCACAUCAGAGGGGGUUUGGGAGGGGGCACAGCUGGCAGGAGCCUCGGGAGGGGCUGCAGGAGCUGCUCUGUGAGGUUUUCCUCCAGCAAACAGACCUCUGGGCUUAAUAAGCUAUUUGUAAAACUGGCUGUGGAUAAACAAGAGGCCGUGUGUCAGGCUGAAGGCGGCCUCGCAGGGCUGCGCCGCGCGGGGUGGGACCUCAGCACAGAAAUAUUUUCAAGAUAAACAGAGGAAAAUGAGUCCUGGAGGAGGCUGGAGCCACUGGCAGCAGUACGCUGCUCCUCUCCAAGAUUAUUUCGGGGCAGGAACUUGGCUUUCUGCACACUGCAGCUUUUUUUUAUUCUGCCUCUGAAGGGAACCUCGCGUGCUGCUGAUUCAGAAAUAAACCUGAGGAGCGGUGGGCACUGCAGGCAGCAGCGAGGAGAUGUGCAGAGCCCGGGGCUUGCAGGGGAGUUUUGGGCUGAGGGCGAGGAGCUGGGAUGCACAGCUGCUGCUGCAGAUCCCCCUGGUCAGAGCUGCCUUCCCUGGAGAACCCUUGGGCUCAGGAUAUUACCCCCUGGGGAAAUAAUCCUGUUAUUUGAAAUGUAAAAAAGAAUUCACAUGGACAACAAUGGAUUCCUAAAUGAACCCAACAACAGCCCCCAAUCCCAGUGCGGCGUCACUUGCCUCAGAUAGGGAAAAUAUUAAGUUUCCUUUCAAAAGGUUCUUGUCUCCUCUUUCUCUUCUCCUGCCCCAGGUAAGGUAAAAUGGGCUUCUUCUCUUCUUCAAGUGCAUCAAUUUAUUGAGGGAAUCCUGGAUAUGAAGGAAUUCAGCGGGGAGCAUGGGGGAGGCAGAUAUAUGUGUGUGUAUAUAUAUAUAUUUAAUAUAUAUUUAUGGGUGUCUCCCCUUAAUUUGGGGGUGGGAAGGGAGCCCUGGGAGGGUGGGAUGCGAGGGCCCAGCACGGCCCCGCGGGUUUCUGCUGGAGCUGGGAACCUUUGCCUUCCUUCGGCAAAGAGCUGCCGAGGUUCUUUGGAAACACUGUUCCCUAGAUCAAGAUCUUCACUGAAGGCAAAUAACAGCUCGUCUUUGCAACACCCAAACAUAAGCAACUAAUUUGGACCACCGAAAGGAAAAAGGGGGAGGGAAAAAAAAAAAAGAAAAGAAAGAGAAAGAGGAGGAAGAGGGAGGGGAGGGAAGAAAAUCAGAUACACUUGUAACCUGAUUACAACAGCCAGCUAUGUGUGCAAAAUCACAAUGCAGCUCUAUAAUUAAAUCUCUCUUUCCCCCUCCUGCCGAGCUCUUUCCUCUAACAGGCGCGGUACAAAAACAGUCGUUAGGACAUCAAAUUCCAGCUCCGACAAGAGGGGACUUUUUUGUCUAUAGCUGCUCGGCUCGUCUUUAAGGAAAUAAUAAUUAUAAGCCCAGUGCUGCUGGCUGACGAGCUUUGUGGAGCAGAAAGGGCUCGUCUUGUCCAAUCACCCCUUCCCCCACACAGAGGGCUGGGUGAUGGGAACAGAGAGGGGAUAGCCCUGGGAGCCAGCCCUGGACACCCCCUCCUUGUGCUGGAUCCAGAGGGAGAGGAAAGCCUGGGGUCUAACAAGAUGCUCGGAGUCGCUGAGCCCUGCUGAAUCCACCUCCUGUGUUUUAGCACCUGCAGUUUGGUGGCACAGGCACUCCCGGGUGGGUCUGGAUGUUUGGGAGUGCACAAAGCACCUGUGAGGGAUGUGAGGAACCAGUGGCUUCAGGGACAGCAGGAGAGGUCCUUCCAGAGCAGUUUCCCCUCUGCCAGAUCUGGGCUGCAGGGUGAUGGAGGGGUGCCAUGGAAAGGAUCAGGUCAAUGAACCCCCAAAGCAGCAGGGAAGGGACACCCAGCACGGUGGAUGGGAGCGGGGUGAGCAGUGCUGGCAGCCUUUCCCCAGCCCAGCCUGUUGAUUUACUCCACAUUGGUCACAGAGAGCUAUUCCCAUCCCUGUGACACCCAGCACGUGCUUUUGCUGGCAGCUGCGGGCUGGAUUCAGCCUCGAGGACCCAGUUCCUCGAGGGCAGGCUCCUGCUUGCUUCCUCGGGGUAUUUUUGGGAACAAGUCUUGCAUCCCAUCUUCUUUCCCACUGUGAGUCGAGGGCAGGUGUGUCGAGCUCCUUGCAACUGAUGCAACGACUCACAGGACGGCGAAGGGAAAAACCUGGCACCAGGAAAGCCUCCAAAAGGCCCCAAAGUGCAAGAUAACCACCAGUGAGACAGGAUUUAUCCACCACAGCUCAUCCUGGCAGCAGGCACGUGCAGGAGGGCACAACCGAGGGCGGACGCGAGCUUUGCAACGUGCGGCGUGCGACACGGAAACUCAGAUGCUGCUCCAAUAAAGCUGUGCAGGUUUGGUUUUAAUGGCAAUUAA
This is a long non-coding RNA of Haemorhous mexicanus (house finch), 2912 nucleotides long. RefSeq lists it as uncharacterized. The record is from RefSeq and is a predicted model, not a curated record. NCBI's taxonomy places the organism in Eukaryota, Metazoa, Chordata, Aves, Passeriformes, Fringillidae. The transcript has 2 exons.